GACGAACGCUGGCGGCGUGCUUAACACAUGCAAGUCGAGCGGAAAGGCUCCUUCGGGGGUACUCGAGCGGCGAACGGGUGAGUAACACGUGAGUAAUCUGCCCUUGGCUUUGGGAUAACUACCGGAAACGGUGGCUAAUACCGGAUACGACCACUCCUUGCAGGAGGUGGUGGUGGAAAGUUUUUUCGGCCAGGGAUGUGCUCGCGGCCUAUCAGCUUGUUGGUGGGGUAAUGGCCUACCAAGGCUUCGACGGGUAGCCGGCCUGAGAGGGGUGACCGGCCACACUGGGACUGAGACACGGCCCAGACUCCCUACGGGAGGCAGCAGUGGGGAAUAUUGGACAAUGGGCGGAAA
RNAcentral lists this ribosomal RNA (354 nucleotides) under uncultured bacterium. RNAcentral describes it as "bacterial SSU rRNA". It matches the Rfam family "Bacterial small subunit ribosomal RNA", at positions 28 to 381 of the family's 1533-position model. The record is from RNAcentral.